This 280-nucleotide long non-coding RNA is filed under the name Brassica rapa (field mustard). RNAcentral describes it as "long non-coding RNA (BRAP_LNC008922)". Lineage: Eukaryota; Viridiplantae; Streptophyta; Magnoliopsida; Brassicales; Brassicaceae. The record is from RNAcentral.
UUUUUUUUUAACGGGUUUCUACAUUCUCCCCCCCUUAAUAGAAUUCGUCCUCGAAUUCUUAGUUGCGCCGUUGCUCGUCUUCACAACAUUCUCCACUCGUCUCCAUAACCUCUUUACUCUGUCCAAAACUGUUCCUUGAGUGUCCUCCUCAAGGCCUCCACAAUCGUCUUCUGUUGAAUGAUCGCUGGAUCAUCUCUUAUUGUUGCUCUGCCAUAACACACUGAUUGCCCAUGAUACUAUCUUGUCCUUUUGGUAGAUAUCAUCCUUGUCCAGAUUCCUC